CAAAGGUUCAGGCAGUGUGAGCAUGACACCUCCGUGCUAUCAUCCACUGCUAUCUACAUUUAUGCCCAUGGUCAAAGGUGAACAGCCAAGCAGCAGCUGUGUUGACUGUCUUCUUGCUCCCGAAGCUGUUUCUCAUAGUCACCCCUGAGUAAUCGCUGAUUUCAGUUUGAUUGCAGACCAAGUGGCAAGUCCUGAGUCAACCCUGUCUGCUCUGGUCAGUCAUUUUGCCAACUGGAGAUGCAAAACAAACAUCAGCGAGUCAAACUGACAGGGCAGCGUCCUCUGAGGACCUGAAGCCAGAUUAUAAAUCAAGACUUUCAUACAGUAAUGACAAAUCUGUGUGCAGUGCUUUUGCAUGAUCUAGGGAUUUAACUCUAUGCACAGUGUGUUACAGUUUCGUAGAAAAUGUUGUUGCCACAUAUAAACUGAGCUGUUGUGAAAGGGCAAGGACGUAUUUAUUGCUUGUUGACAGACAGACUAAAGCACAUUUUCUCCAGAUAUUCACUGACUUAAAUUUCCAGCACAUGGCUAAUAUUUUGUCUUGAUUCAUGAGAGGCAGCCAUUCUGGAUGUACAGCAGGGGGAAAGUCAAUCCAGGCAGCACUCGCUGACCCAGAUGUAACCGGUGUGAUGGAUGGAGGAGGACUAGCCGCUGCAAAAACAUGCCUAUUUCAGUCUCCCAUUGUUUGGUAUUCAGUCAUCAUUGUGUAUACAGCAAGUCAACAGCCAGUCUCCUGUGUGUACUACCCUUUUGCAAAAAAAAAAAAAAAAAAAAAGGAAAAAAGGAGCAUGUGUUUCCUCUCACUCAGCACACGUCUUUCCACUGAGUAAAAUGCCCUUCUCCCACUUUCAUCUCUCUCAUUUUCUCUAAAACACAUGCUUGGUUGCAUCACAUGUAGAACUGGAAAUGUUUGGGUGGCAUGGCAACACGUUUCCAAAAUGGAAUAAAUGCUUGGCAGUGCACGUGUUGUCAAAGUCUGCUGUCAGUCUGUGGCCCUGUGGCACUUUUUUUUUUUCUUAUAACAGGGAGAGCUGGCAGCAUUGAUCAUUGCCUUUGAAAAGCACUUGAUUUGAAUAUUUGAACGAGCUGCUGGGAAUACCACAAGGGACAUCAACACCAAACAAUAUUACCAUCUGCUCCCCAUAAACUGUGCAGUCGUUAUGAGCAGUGUAACAAAAUUAAGUCUGGGUUUUCCUGGAUGCUUUUUUUUUUUUUUUGGUCAGGUACUGUGCAGAUGAUACAAUUAUUCUGUCAUUCCAUACCUUCCAAGUAACAACAUAACUUCUUACUUUAAUUCAAAUGAUUUCUGAAGUUGAUGACAAAUAGUACUCAAAUGGCCUAAAGUGUUUAUAGCUGCUUUUUAUUGGUUUUUGUGUUAAGAACAUAAAUGUCUAUUGAUUAAUAGGGCUGCUGGAAAAGGCAAAUCAGGCAGCCAAUAAUCUUUCACUUUAUUUUAUAAGCACAUUAACUUUAAUUGUUAUUAUUUUUGUACUCAUGAAGCCUACUGAAAGUCAGCUCAUUAAUGGAUCUGAGAUAUCUACAGCUUGUGCAGCAGGGAUUUUCAGGUGCUCUUGGGGCUGGUGUAUAAGAAAACCAGUCAUUACAGGAUACUAUGAAGAUGUAAAUCACACUGAGAGGGGGAAGGGAUGGGACUGUGUUCAUGGGAACCAUGGUGACGACGUGUUGGGUUGCACUUUAUCACCUCUGUGAGGAGAACUAGACAGUCACUGACAUAUGACACUCCCAGCCACCUGUCUAACUAGGUGUCUGCCAAAGCACUUCCAAGCACACAUGUAGAUGCAGGUAAAAGCAGGAUGAUUCAUUUGUCCAAAUGUAGCGUCAAUAAACAGAAGGUGCAGCUGUCAGCAUUUUUCUCUCAUGGACAAUGAGGUGGGAAUGCCCGUUUGGGAGCUACCUUUACAUAAUUAUGACUUUGGUUUUAACUGAAGCCUUUCUCUUCUUUUCCCUUACAUGUAACACAC
Molecule: long non-coding RNA, 1982 nt
Organism: Astatotilapia calliptera (eastern happy)
Lineage: Eukaryota; Metazoa; Chordata; Actinopteri; Cichliformes; Cichlidae
Source: Ensembl